This 763-nucleotide ribosomal RNA is filed under the name uncultured archaeon. Its description in RNAcentral is "bacterial SSU rRNA". It matches the Rfam family "Archaeal small subunit ribosomal RNA", at positions 139 to 902 of the family's 1478-position model. The record is from RNAcentral.
ACUGGGGAUAAUUCCGGAUAGGCCACAGAUGCUGGAAUGCACUGUGGCUCAAAGCUCCGGCGCCGAAGGAUGGGUCUGCGGCCUAUCAGGGUUGUAGUGGGUGUAAUGUACCUACUAGCCUACGACGGGUACGGGUUGUGAGAGCAAGAGCCCGGAGAUGGAUUCUGAGACACGAAUCCAUGCCCUACGGGGUGCAGCAGGCGCGAAAACUUUACAAUGCGGGAAACCGUGAUAAGGGAAUCUCGAGUGCCAGCAUAUAAUGUUGGCUGUCCAGAUGCCUAAAAAGCAUCUGUUAGCAAGGGCCGGGCAAGACCGGUGCCAGCCGCCGCGGUAACACCGGCGGCCCGAGUGGUAACCGCUUUUAUUGGGUCUAAAGGGUCUGUAGCCGGCCAUGUAAGUCCCUUGGGAAAUCUGGCAGCUCAACUGUCAGGCUGCUAGGGGAUACUGCUUGGCUUGGGACCGGGAGAGGUGAGAGGUACCUUGAGGGUAGGGGUGAAAUCUUGUGAUCCUCGGGGGACCACCAGUGGCGAAGGCGUCUCACCAGAACGGGUCCGACGGUAAGGGACGAAAGCUAGGGGCACGAACCGGAUUAGAUACCCGGGUAGUCCUAGCCGUAAACGAUGCUCGCUAGGUGUCAGUCACGGUGCGACCGUGAUUGGUGCCGUAGGGAAGCCGUGAAGCGAGCCACCUGGGAAGUACGGCCGCAAGGCUGAGACUUAAAGGAAUUGGCGGGGGAGCACUACAACGGGUGGAGCCUGCGGUU